GUGACCUUCAGCAGCACGUAUACUAAAACUGGAACAGUACACAGAUUAGCAUGGCCUCUGCGCACAGGUAACACGCAAAUUCACGAAGCAUUCCAUAAUUUU
Molecule: small nuclear RNA, 102 nt
Filed under: Jaculus jaculus (lesser Egyptian jerboa)
Lineage: Eukaryota; Metazoa; Chordata; Mammalia; Rodentia; Dipodidae
Source: RNAcentral